This 762-nucleotide ribosomal RNA is filed under the name Thalamita cooperi. RNAcentral describes it as "eukaryotic LSU rRNA". It matches the Rfam family "Eukaryotic large subunit ribosomal RNA", at positions 602 to 936 of the family's 3401-position model. Lineage: Eukaryota; Metazoa; Arthropoda; Malacostraca; Decapoda; Portunidae. The record is from RNAcentral.
GUGCCGGCGAAGGGGGAAACCUCCGGUGUCCUGGCUGCCCUGCGACGGUCGUGUAGCGGAGGGGCUCCCAGAGCCUUGACCUCUCGCGGCGUGCAAAAGGUCGGUGACCCACCCGACCCGUCUUGAAACACGGACCAAGGAGUCUAACAUGUGUGCGAGUCAGUGGGCGCACUAAACCCAAAGGCGCAAUGAAAGUGAAAGGGGGGCUCCCCUGAGGAGUCCUCCGGGGCCGAUCCUUGACCGAGUGAGAGACGCCGGGGUCGACCCAUACCAAAGCGGGGCCGCCAUGGCGGCGCGCGGAGGUGAGACCCUUUCCCACGUUAGCGCCGUCGGCCCCGUGGGCCCCCGGUGCGCUCUCCGGUCCGGAGUAACAUCCGCCUGUACGCAGGGAGGCGCAGGCCCGGGACUUGUCACCCGACGCCGUCGCGUGAAGCUGUUGUUGGUCACGCCGGCUUUGCUUGGGCUCUCGGUUGUGGGUGCCGCGUGUCUUUGGGCGCGUCAGUUGGUCGUUGCUGUCGGGCUCGUCUCGGCGGCGGCGGUUGCUGGCUCGUCCGGCGCGGUGGCUCCUUCCGAUCCUGCUCUGUUCGGCGCGGCCUAGCGCGCGUGCUGUCGGCAAGUACCAUGAGCAGACAUGUUGGGACCCGAAAGAUGGUGAACUAUGCCUGGCCAGGAUGAAGCCAGAGGAAACUCUGGUGGAGGUCCGCAGCAAUUCUGACGUGCAAAUCGAUUGUCAGAGCUGGGUAUAGGGGCGAAAGACUAAUC